This 77-nucleotide transfer RNA is filed under the name Rhodospirillaceae bacterium. RNAcentral describes it as "tRNA-Arg". It matches the Rfam family "tRNA". From Rfam's summary of the family: Transfer RNA (tRNA) molecules are approximately 80 nucleotides in length. Their secondary structure includes four short double-helical elements and three loops (D, anti-codon, and T loops). Lineage: Bacteria; Pseudomonadati; Pseudomonadota; Alphaproteobacteria; Rhodospirillales; Rhodospirillaceae. The record is from RNAcentral.
GCGCCCGUAGCUCAGCAGGAUAGAGCACCAGAUUCCUAAUCUGGGGGUCAGAGGUUCGAAUCCUCUCGGGCGCACCA